This 497-nucleotide ribosomal RNA is filed under the name uncultured bacterium. Its description in RNAcentral is "partial 16S ribosomal RNA". It matches the Rfam family "Bacterial small subunit ribosomal RNA", at positions 28 to 507 of the family's 1533-position model. The record is from RNAcentral.
GAUGAACGCUGGCGGCGUGCCUAAUACAUGCAAGUCGAGCGAACAGAUGAGGAGCUUGCUCCUCUGACGUUAGCGGCGGACGGGUGAGUAACACGUGGAUAACCUACCUAUAAGACUGGGAUAACUUCGGGAAACCGGAGCUAAUACCGGAUAAUAUAUUGAACCGCAUGGUUCAAUAGUGAAAGACGGUUUUGCUGUCACUUAUAGAUGGAUCCGCGCCGCAUUAGCUAGUUGGUAAGGUAGCGGCUUACCAAGGCAACGAUGCGUAGCCGACCUGAGAGGGUGAUCGGCCACACUGGAACUGAGACACGGUCCAGACUCCUACGGGAGGCAGCAGUAGGGAAUCUUCCGCAAUGGGCGAAAGCCUGACGGAGCAACGCCGCGUGAGUGAUGAAGGUCUUCGGAUCGUAAAACUCUGUUAUUAGGGAAGAACAAAUGUGUAAGUAACUAUGCACGUCUUGACGGUACCUAAUCAGAAAGCCACGGCUAGCUACGUG